This 247-nucleotide long non-coding RNA is filed under the name Bos taurus (domestic cattle). RNAcentral's name for it is "long non-coding RNA NONBTAT013642". The record is from RNAcentral. Lineage: Eukaryota; Metazoa; Chordata; Mammalia; Artiodactyla; Bovidae.
GCUUUUGAGACAGCCCUGGGGCAGUGCUCCUGGCAUGAGAACACAGGGCCAGAAGAAGAGCGGCUUUCCGAAAUCCAUUUUGCACCUGGGGCUUAGGGAGGACUCUGUGUUCUUGUUUUAAAGGCAUUUUGGGAGAGUGUUAUUUGGCUUGCUACGGGAGUGAGACGAAAAAAUAUUUUGAAAAUGGGAUGUGCAGUGAGACAUACUUUUAUGGAGUGAGAACAGGGAAGAAAUAGGAGAGAUGAUG